CCUCUGGUGGUCCAGUGACCAGGACUCUGCCCUUCCAAUGCAGGGGCCCAGGUUCGAUCCCUGCUCAGGGAA
This 72-nucleotide transfer RNA is filed under the name Ovis aries (sheep). It matches the Rfam family "tRNA". From Rfam's summary of the family: Transfer RNA (tRNA) molecules are approximately 80 nucleotides in length. The record is from Rfam by way of RNAcentral. Lineage: Eukaryota; Metazoa; Chordata; Mammalia; Artiodactyla; Bovidae.